GUGUGUGUGUGUGUGUGUGUGUGUGUGUGUGUGUGUGUGUGUGUGUGUGUGUGUGUGUGUGUGUGUGUGUGUGUGUGUGUGAGUGUACCUGCGAGGUUGGCGUGUGUGAGACUCUCUCUCAGAGGAGAUACAGGCGAUGUGAGUGUGUG
This is a long non-coding RNA of Silurus meridionalis, 149 nucleotides long. RefSeq lists it as uncharacterized. The transcript is spliced from 3 exons. NCBI's taxonomy places the organism in Eukaryota, Metazoa, Chordata, Actinopteri, Siluriformes, Siluridae. The record is from RefSeq and is a predicted model, not a curated record.